GACGAACGCUGGCGGCGUGCUUAACACAUGCAAGUCGAACGGAAAGGCCCUGCUUUUGUGGGGUGCUCGAGUGGCGAACGGGUGAGUAACACGUGAGUAACCUGCCCUUGACUUUGGGAUAACUUCAGGAAACUGGGGCUAAUACCGGAUAGGAGCUCCUGCUGCAUGGUGGGGGUUGGAAAGUUUCGGCGGUUGGGGAUGGACUCGCGGCUUAUCAGCUUGUUGGUGGGGUAGUGGCUUACCAAGGCUUUGACGGGUAGCCGGCCUGAGAGGGUGACCGGCCACAUUGGGACUGGGAUACGGCCCAGACUCCUACGGGAGGCAGCAGUGGGGAAUAUUGCACAAUAGGCGGAAGCCUGAUGCAGCAACGCCGCGUGCGGGAUGACGGCCUUCGGGUUGUAAACCGCUUUCGCCUGUGACGAAGCGUGAGUGACGGUAAUGGGUAAAGAAGCACCGGCUAACUACGUG
This 468-nucleotide ribosomal RNA is filed under the name uncultured bacterium. RNAcentral's name for it is "partial 16S ribosomal RNA". It matches the Rfam family "Bacterial small subunit ribosomal RNA", at positions 28 to 507 of the family's 1533-position model. The record is from RNAcentral.